Bombyx mori (domestic silkworm) is the source of this 1117-nucleotide long non-coding RNA. RefSeq lists it as uncharacterized. Lineage: Eukaryota; Metazoa; Arthropoda; Insecta; Lepidoptera; Bombycidae. The record is from RefSeq and is a predicted model, not a curated record. The transcript is spliced from 2 exons.
CUUUUAGAAGGGAAAACUUCAUCAGCUGUUUCUAUAAAAGCAGAAGCUAAAAUUUUUGCUUGUGCAUCGGAAUCUAAGUUAUUAAUAUUUUCACAGUUGGCAAGUUUAAUAUCCAAACGCGAUUGAAACGUUUUCCAAUCCUCAUCUGUUACUUGAGAUAGAUUGUACUUUAUUGUAGACUUAUGUUUAGAAUGAUCCUUAAUUACUAUGUUAUUGUGUGAAAAUGAAAUAAUAAUAGGAUAGUGGUCACUUCCAUAACUUAAUUUUAAUGUUUCCCAGGUCAAAGAUGGCACCAGAGAUGGGGAGGAAAUAGAUAUAUCAGGAGCACUAACAAUUUGAUCAGGACCAGUUCUACGAGUUGGACUUCCGGAAUUUAAAAUACACAAAUUCUGUUCAUUAACAAAAUCAAGAAUUAUAUCUCCAAAUUCAUUAGAUAUUGAGCUUCCCCAUGUUUGAUGCCACAGGAGAUUCGGAAUUUUCAUUAAAUUUUAAAGCACAGCCAUUAGAAGGAGAUGGAGCAUCGUAAUCUCUUGUAAGAUUUCUAUGGGCCCUUUGAUCAAAACCUUUAUCACCUUUAAAGGGAGAUCGAGGUUUCAUAAAAACUGUUUUUUUAUAUGACGAUGGACUUUUACUGGCAAUUACUGGGCUGGGGGCAAUAGAUUCAUGAAACGUUGAAUGAUUCUUACGAUCCGAUGGAAUUGAAGAAAGAACAUCAGCAAACGAUUUAUACACUGGAGGAUGAAGUUUACAUGCUUCCAAGUAUGACACACAACUGUUCGCCAUUGUCUGCUUUAUGGCCCUUUGUCUUUCAAAUUCUGGACAUUUCUUAUUUAUAGCAAAGUGUAAGCCGUUACAAAGACAACAGGAAACAUGUUCCUCCUCUACAUUACAAGAAUCUCCUGUAUGAUCUUGACCACAUUUAAAACAACGCGGUUUCGAUCUACACUGAGCUCUAACAUGACCGAAUCUACAGCAAUUAAAACAUUGAACUGUAGGAUAAAUGUACAAAUCAACUGGUAAUGAUGUAAAACACAUAUAUACUCUUUUAGGUAAAACCUGUCCAUCAAAUGUUAUUACCACGGAUUCUGUGUCAAUAAAAGUUUUAUUGUCAUUUACA